AGGGUUUGAUCAUGGCUCAGGACGAACGCUGGCGGCGUGCUUAACACAUGCAAGUCGAGCGGAAAGGCCCUUCGGGGUACUCGAGCGGCGAACGGGUGAGUAACACGUGGGCAACCUGCCCUCAGCUCUGGGAUAACUCCGGGAAACCGGGGCUAAUACCGGAUACGACCUUCCCUGGCAUCGGGGUGGGUGGAAAGUUCUUCGGCUGAGGAUGGGCCCGCGGCCUAUCAGCUUGUUGGUGGGGUGACGGCCUACCAAGGCGACGACGGGUAGCCGGCCUGAGAGGGCGACCGGCCACACUGGGACUGAGACACGGCCCAGACUCCUACGGGAGGCAGCAGUGGGGAAUAUUGCGCAAUGGGCGGAAGCCUGACGCAGCGACGCCGCGUGAGGGAUGAAGGCCUUCGGGUUGUAAACCUCUUUCAGCAGGGACGAAGCGAGAGUGACGGUACCUGCAGAAGAAGCACCGGCCAACUACGUGCCAGCAGCCGCGGUAAUACGUAGGGUGCAAGCGUUGUCCGGAAUUAUUGGGCGUAAAGAGCUCGUAGGCGGUCUGUCGCGUCGGCUGUGAAAACUCGGGGCUCAACCCCGAGCCUGCAGUCGAUACGGGCAGACUUGAGUGCUGUAGGGGAGACUGGAAUUCCUGGUGUAGCGGUGAAAUGCGCAGAUAUCAGGAGGAACACCGGUGGCGAANGCGGGUCUCUGGGCCAGUAACUGACGCUGAG
This 725-nucleotide ribosomal RNA is filed under the name uncultured Actinomycetes bacterium. Its description in RNAcentral is "bacterial SSU rRNA". It matches the Rfam family "Bacterial small subunit ribosomal RNA", at positions 8 to 750 of the family's 1533-position model. Lineage: Bacteria; Bacillati; Actinomycetota; Actinomycetes. The record is from RNAcentral.